GACGAACGCUGGCGGCGUGCCUAAUACAUGCAAGUCGAGCGAAGUUUUUCUGGUGCUUGCACUAGAAAAACUUAGCGGCGAACGGGUGAGUAACACGUAAAGAACCUGCCUCAUAGACUGGGACAACUAUUGGAAACGAUAGCUAAUACCGGAUAACAGCAUUAAUUGCAUGGUUGAUGUUUAAAAGUUGGUUUUGCUAACACUAUGAGAUGGCUUUGCGGUGCAUUAGCUAGUUGGUGGGGUAAAGGCCUACCAAGGCGACGAUGCAUAGCCGACCUGAGAGGGUGAUCGGCCACACUGGGACUGAGACACGGCCCAGACUCCUACGGGAGGCAGCAGUAGGGAAUCUUCCGCAAUGGGCGAAAGCCUGACGGAGCAACGCCGCGUGAGUGAAGAAGGAUUUCGGUUCGUAAAGCUCUGUUGUUAGGGAAGAAUGAUUGUGUAGUAACUAUACACAGUAGAGACGGUACCUAACCAGAAAGCCACGGCUAACUACGUG
This 499-nucleotide ribosomal RNA is filed under the name uncultured bacterium. Its description in RNAcentral is "partial 16S ribosomal RNA". It matches the Rfam family "Bacterial small subunit ribosomal RNA", at positions 28 to 507 of the family's 1533-position model. The record is from RNAcentral.